Molecule: ribosomal RNA, 443 nt
Filed under: Streptococcus dysgalactiae
Lineage: Bacteria; Bacillati; Bacillota; Bacilli; Lactobacillales; Streptococcaceae
Description: bacterial SSU rRNA
Rfam family: Bacterial small subunit ribosomal RNA
Source: RNAcentral
GAUAACUAUUGGAAACGAUAGCUAAUACCGCAUGACAAUGGAGGACCCAUGUCUUUCAUUUAAAAGGUGCAACUGCAUCACUAUGAGAUGGACCUGCGUUGUAUUAGCUAGUUGGUGAGGUAACGGCUCACCAAGGCGACGAUACAUAGCCGACCUGAGAGGGUGAACGGCCACACUGGGACUGAGACACGGCCCAGACUCCUACGGGAGGCAGCAGUAGGGAAUCUUCGGCAAUGGACGGAAGUCUGACCGAGCAACGCCGCGUGAGUGAAGAAGGUUUUCGGAUCGUAAAGCUCUGUUGUUAGAGAAGAAUGAUGGUGGGAGUGGAAAAUCCACCAUGUGACGGUAACUAACCAGAAAGGGACGGCUAACUACGUGCCAGCAGCCGCGGUAAUACGUAGGUCCCGAGCGUUGUCCGGAUUUAUUGGGCGUAAAGCGAGCGC